CAAAAAGAAAUGCCGUCCGCAGGAUUCGAACCUGCGCCCUCCGGAGAGGACUGCGACCUGAACGCAGCGCCUUAGACCACUCGGCCAGAACGGCGG
Molecule: non-coding RNA, 96 nt
Organism: Caenorhabditis elegans
Lineage: Eukaryota; Metazoa; Nematoda; Chromadorea; Rhabditida; Rhabditidae
Source: Ensembl